UCCUCUUCUUCAAAAUAGAGCCAGCUCAAUCCCAUCUUCUCCGUAUCCUCUUCCUCCUUAAAUCCUUAUCCCACGUCCACUAUUUUCCCAACCUUAUGCCCUCCUUCCAGAUCAUGUCCACUGUCCAUGCGUAUCCAGGAUCAUCCUCCUUUCUUCGGAUUAACUACAUCCUCCAAAUCCUUCCCAGCAUUUGGAUUAACUUCAUCGUCCUUCUCUUCCAGCUUGAUCCUAUGGAAUUCCCCAACGUCUCAACCAUUUUUCUAAGCUUAUCAUCUCAUCCGUUCCCUGUUAUUAGCCGAGAUCCCAACAUCCCAGCUUGCAUCCUUAUCCCGUUUGCAAUUAGUCACUCCAAUCCCAGCAAAUCCAAGCUUAUUCUCUGCUUUAGAACAACGUCUCAGAUCCCAUCUUCUCCGUGAUCUUCUUCUCUUGGAUAAGCUCCAAUCCGCCAUUCAGUCGUAUCCUUCUUCCUCCUCAUCUCCUCCGUGUCCGUCCUAGCUCACCAUGUUCGUGAUCCAUCCUUAUCCCGUAUCUAGCUUAAUUCCCAUGCUUCCUGCAUCCAGCUCA
RNAcentral lists this long non-coding RNA (564 nucleotides) under Phoenix dactylifera (date palm). RNAcentral describes it as "long non-coding RNA (PDAC_LNC019174)". The record is from RNAcentral. Lineage: Eukaryota; Viridiplantae; Streptophyta; Magnoliopsida; Arecales; Arecaceae.